AAAAUGAAUUUAUUUCAAAUUCCAACAAAAUGAUUCAAUUACAUUCAUAUUGCAAUUUUUCUACUCAAGCCUACACUAUUACAUAAAGUGGAAGCAAUACAUAAUUAUAUAUUCAUGCAUACAAAUACAUGCAUUUGUAAAGUACAAUAGAUACACCCCAAAGUCUCCUACUACCCGCCUGCAACACUCCACCUCUAGCCCCAUUUUCCUUUUCAAAUCAAUAGGCCAUACAUAUGGUACAAGAGCUUGUCAAGUCAAGUCAGUCACCCUACAACUACAUCUGUCCCUUCUUCAUACUUAUCAUAGGAGAGGAUAGGAGAGGUAGCUGCCAACCUUCUCCUUUAAACAAAAGCAACUAGCAACUUCCUUCAACUCUUUAUUAUCCCACACUGAAGAAACCCAUGAGAAGAACAAGAAUCUUUCAUCCUUCUCAGCCAACAUUCAAGGUAAAAUCUUGCUAGAAUCUCCUCCCUUUUUUCUCUAUGAUUUAUCCUGCAUUCAUUAAAGAGCAGCUUGACAUCAUUUCAGCAAAUUUUCAUCUGCCUCUCCUUCCACCAAAGACAACGAAUGCAGAUUUGAAAACCAACAUAAGAGAAAAACCAGCAAGUACAGAUCAUUUCAAAAGGUUUCACCUUGAACAACUAUGCCUAUUUCAUUCUACAUAGUAUUUGCACCUAUCAUCGCUAUGCUACGCAUUCAAUGAAUUAUACAUAUAUGUAUGUACAUAAUCAUUUUCAUCAUAUUGCAUAUAUGAGAUAUAUGUGUUUUGAAUAAGAGCUAUUAUUUUCGUUUCUAAACAAGGCAUAACGUUUUAAAGAAAGGAUUUUUUUCUUAUGAGUUUGUUGUCAUAUAUUGUUUCGAGUGGGGGGUAAGAGAGUUACCUCGCUGUGGUGUAGAGUCGAGAGGUGGAAGGAGGAAGGGCACGGCGGCGGUGCCGCUGCUGCCCGGCUACGGUCAGGGAGGAAAAGGGAGAGGCUGGUG
This 981-nucleotide long non-coding RNA is filed under the name Salvia miltiorrhiza (redroot sage). Its description in RNAcentral is "long non-coding RNA (SMIL_LNC002122)". The record is from RNAcentral. Lineage: Eukaryota; Viridiplantae; Streptophyta; Magnoliopsida; Lamiales; Lamiaceae.